Vidua macroura (Pin-tailed whydah) is the source of this 294-nucleotide long non-coding RNA. RefSeq lists it as uncharacterized. The transcript is spliced from 3 exons. The record is from RefSeq and is a predicted model, not a curated record. Lineage: Eukaryota; Metazoa; Chordata; Aves; Passeriformes; Viduidae.
UGUGACACCCAGCCCCUGUGUGACCCAGUGUCCUAGAUUGCAAGGCAAUGAAACAAUACAUCUGAAAAAUGGUUCCACCACCGAAUGCUUGAUCCUUGCCACACACACAUUUCCAGGAUACGAGCAAUACAGGGGCUGGGAGCUGGAGUGGGUGUCAGACCAUGAUGUCAGCCAUAAAACCUGCGACAGAGGAGAAUUCAUUUUUCCCUCUUGGAGAGCCACGAGCAGGUGCCACAGCAGCUGAGAAUAUGUGAGCCAGCAUUAAAGCAUUCCCAGAUCAACCCAGAGAGGAUA